This 597-nucleotide ribosomal RNA is filed under the name uncultured bacterium. Its description in RNAcentral is "bacterial SSU rRNA". It matches the Rfam family "Bacterial small subunit ribosomal RNA", at positions 319 to 916 of the family's 1533-position model. The record is from RNAcentral.
GGGCGGGCACGGGGGGACUCCUACGGGAGGCAGCAGUAAGGAAUAUUGGUCAAUGGACGCAAGUCUGAACCAGCCAUGCCGCGUGGAGGAUUAAGGCCCUCUGGGUUGUAAACUCCUUUUAUCUGGGAAGAAAUGCAUUUUUUCUAAAGUGCUUGACGGUACCAGAGGAAUAAGCACCGGCUAACUCCGUGCCAGCAGCCGCGGUAAUACGGAGGGUGCAAGCGUUAUCCGGAUUCACUGGGUUUAAAGGGUGCGUAGGCGGGCAGGUAAGUCCGUGGUGAAAUCUCUGAGCUUAACUCAGAAACUGCCAUGGGUACUAUUUGUCUUGAAUAUUGUGGAGGUAAGCGGAAUAUGUCAUGUAGCGGUGAAAUGCUUAGAUAUGACAUAGAACACCAAUUGCGAAGGCAGCUUACUACACAGUUAUUGACGCUGAGGCACGAAAGCGUGGGGAUCAAACAGGAUUAGAUACCCUGGUAGUCCACGCCCUAAACGAUGAUUACUCGACAUCAGCGAUACACUGUUGGUGUCUGAGGGAAACCAUUAAGUAAUCCACCUGGGAAGUACGAUCGCAAGAUUGAAACUCAAAGGAAUUGACGG